This is a long non-coding RNA of Peromyscus californicus insignis, 2434 nucleotides long. RefSeq lists it as uncharacterized. The record is from RefSeq and is a predicted model, not a curated record. Lineage: Eukaryota; Metazoa; Chordata; Mammalia; Rodentia; Cricetidae. The transcript has 3 exons.
UACAUAUACUUACAUAACCUCUAAGUGCAUUCUAAAUACGUAUCCCUACACCCACGGGUGCAGCUCUUACUUCUCAUCGAAGAAGCUUCUUUUUGCAGCAGACAGAGAUCGUUAGAGGAGCCAGCACUGCCGAGAUCAACUGCCCAUGAAGUACCUGUCCCCGGUUAACACGUUGACAACACGACCCUUCCACUUGAGGCUCAGGAAAUAUGGAGGAAGAGGGGGAGAGAAGAUUUUAAAAGCCAGAAGGCCAGGACAUCUGUUGCUGUGAGACGCGCAGAAACAAGAGGAUCCCCGGCACUUAUUGACAAGGCAAUCUGAUGGUUCACAGCUUUGACAGGAUUUGCCAAAGGCAUCUGCAACAAAACUCCCCUCUGAGCUUGUACAUCAUCAUCUCUGCAGGGGAAUACAGGAGGAAGAGAAUCCCCUAUUGCUGAAGAGCCUAUGCAUUUCAGACACAAGACCUGAAGGCUCCAAGCUAGAUCUGGCCUGAAAGCCUCUUCACCAAAGACCAGCUUUCCUGGUACCAAAAGGUGCUGCGCAAGCUUCUAAGGGAAGCAGGGCCAACAGUCCCAGCCAGCUGUGUUACCUCUGAACCACAACAGCCAGCAUGGCACGAUGUCCCCAGCCGUGGCACCCACGCCUGGGCAGUAACCAACGGCUCUCUGAUUGGUCUGAAGGCCUGCUCAACAAGAGAGAUGUCAUGCCUGGUACUGGAAACCUAACCGACUGCUCAGCACAAGUGAGGUCAUGCAUCUUGGGGGAGAACCUACCACCACCACUUUACUAAACCAGAAAAUUCCUAACUAUAUUCUUAAUAGUUGUCCUUGUACUUACAAACGAGUGUAGUUUCCACCUCUCGUCAGACUCUUUACAACAGACAGACAGAGACCAUUAAAGAAAACCACAAAUGGGUUGGGGAUUUAGCUCAGUGAUAGAGCACUUGCCUAGCAAGCACAAGGCCCUGGGUUCAAUCCUCAGCUCCAAAAAAGAAAACCACAACCAUUCAAAAUGCAGAGAACAAGAGAUUGCGUGGUACCAGUCUUAACAGUUGUGUUCAUCCGGAACACAACUCCUGCACCGAAGGCACAGGGAUCAUUGUGGAAUUGGGGUUGGGAAAAGAUCGUAAGAGACAGAGGAACAGGAAGCUUGCUGUGAGGUUGUGUCUCCUAGAAAUGUCAGACAGGCUACGACCAUGGAGUCUCAGCAAUAUGGCUGCCUAAACAAGACCUGAACAGUGACACAAAUGGAUGAGCUAACCCGGAAGCGGCAGAUCUCACGGGGCGUCAACUCUAGACAGAGACCUACAGGGGGCACGGAGAGCAGAAGAAAUGGUCUUCUCCAGAGAAGGGCCCUCCCCAGCCCACAGGUGGUGAUCCAAUAUCAAGUGGUCAGCCCUGAAAUCUCAUCCAUGCAAGUAACAUUAUACAGACUGAGCAGUGUUGGGGGUACAAAGGUCCCUGUGCCCACAAAUAAGCACUUGGGUGUUGUGGAAUACUCUUUUUGUACACUGUGAAGAAGUGUCACUCUGAUUGGUUUAAUAAAAAAGCUGAACAGCCAAUAGCCAGGCAGGAUUUGGGGGACAGAGAGGACACUGGGAAGAAGGGCAGAGAUGGGGGUGGAAGGAGAGUCAAGAGGAGACACGGAGGAAGCAUGACAUGUAGAAGAUGAGGUAACAAACCGUGAGCCACGUGGCAGCCCAUAGAUGGACAGAAAUGGGUUAAGUUGUAAGAGCUAGCUAAAAGAAGCCUAAGCUAUCGGCCUAGCUUUCAUAGUUAAUAAGAAGUCUCUGUGUCAUUGAUUCAUUUAAUUAAUUAAUUUCAUAAUUAAUAAGAAGUCUUGCUACACUUGGGAAACCAGUAAUGUUAAACAUGCAGGGACCUCUUCUCAAAGGAAUUACCUGUGUCCCACCCAGAAGGCUGGGAGUGAACACUGUUAGUGACCUGGUGACCUUUGUGCUGUCCGUGGGGGCAGACCUCACCCAGAAUGUUUAUUCCAGAUUCUUCCCUCCCUAGAUCAUUAUCUUUAGCUCCCACAUAAUAGAAGACAUCCUUAGGGGAGAUGUCACAUGCACUUUGUGGCCUGCUGACUUCUAUGCCAUCUCAAUCAGAGACCACACUAGAUUCUAAACCUUUUAGCCAUAGAACCCACACUCAUGGUCACAUGUACUUUGCAAAGGAGUUUCAUUAUAGUCACACUUUAAGCUUUAUUGUGCAUCUAGAAUUGGGAUGCUUGUUGCCUGGAAACUUUCCCCCAGAUUGUACUGUUUUUUUAAAUAUGCUGACAGUGGACCACUGCUGUGGAAUAUCAUUUUAACUAGGCAAAUAUGUGUUACAUUUGUUUAUGCUGCAGAAUAUUACUUUAACUAUGUGAAGGUGUGUUACACUUGUUUAUGCUGCAUUUGUUCAAUUAUGUAAAGAUGUGUUGCGUUUUA